UUAAUGGAAACAUUCAGGUGGUAGAAUGGCUUCCAACACAGCUGAGACAAAGGGUUAAACUGAGCCACUGAGACUGCUUCUAGCUGUGGACAGGCUCUGCCUUCCUUCAUGGAGACUUCGCUCCCCGGCAGCCCCCAGAACCUUCUCCGAGUUCAGCUCUACACUCCCAGCUUGAAGUUCAGCCCAAGGCUUCCUGCAAAAGUCUCAGGACUGAGUCUCAUUGGUCUGGUUUGGGUCACGGGCUGAGCCUGAGCCAAUCGCUGUGGCCAGGGGAUCGACAGCUCUGAUUGGCCCAGCCCGAGUCACAUGACACCCCUGGAGCCCAGAGACCAGAGUGGGAAGGGGCAGCUCCUGCAGGGAAGUUGGGGUCCUGGAAUCUGAGGCCAGGUGGGGACCCGGCAGCCAAAGCUCACAGGUGCCUAUCACAGACCCCCUUGGAGCACUUUUCACCCUGUGCAAUUACUUGUUCAUAUGUCUCUCCUCCAGCUGGUCAGGAAUAAGCAUCCUUCUCACUUACAAUUCCAGAGCAUCAUUCCAGCCCAAAGGAACAGCAGUCUAAUAAGUGGCUGUUAAAUUGUACUUUUUAGGCAUUUCCUUGCCGUGUGACCUACAUAGCAAGUAAAUCAGAGCAGAGUCUGACGAAGAUUUUUGUGACAUGUAUGUUAAGGUAAUGCUUCCUGACAUUAAAAAAGAAAUCACAAAUGGAGUGUUUUCUCAGUGCCUGUGUCCACACAGGGUGAGCCCAUGUGUCCUUUGUGGAAUCCUCACGAUGCUUGGGGAAGGGGACUCCGUCCUUGACAGGUGAGAGCACUGAAGCCCAGAUGCCGUAAGUAGCUUAUCAAGGAAACACAGCCGGCUGGUGGCAUGGCUGGGAGUUAAUCCCAGGUGGCUGACUUCCCAGGACUUUCUGACGGUUUGCUGAAGGGGUUCUCAGUUCAGGGGGACAGAGGGAAGGGUCUUGUGAUUACCUUUGGGGCUUUUUGAAACUAUUCCUCUGUCUUAGUUUGGCUUCCGUCGGAGGCAGACCUGGACUGGAGGAUUCAAGUGCAUGCACUUUCCCUGUGAGGGGAUCCAGGGGGCUCGGCCAAGACACAGCCUGAAUGAGGCGCAGAGGGCCAGGCAGCCAGGGAAGAGCGCUUCUGAUGUGGACCCUGCUGGGGGCAACUGGAGCGGAAUGCCGUGGAGCCGACUGGGGUGCAGGGCAGGAACGCCACGUAGCCGACGUGAGAUGGAGCUGAUCAAGACCCGGAUCUGGUGGGAGAGCAGCCCUCUGGACGGUGCUCGCUGAGAACAGGGGCUCUCCGCACCAGCACAGCAGCCAGCACGUGGAAAGUAAAGUGCUCAGUAAAUAUCUGCUCAUUGGACGAGUGAUUGGAUCAUCUGAGAUGCUGUCUUGGACCCCAAACUCAAGGCUAAUGUGAGGCCACCCCAGAGUCUCAGAGCAAGGAACUGGCAAGUGAAGUAA
Long non-coding RNA from Camelus dromedarius (Arabian camel), 1465 nucleotides. RefSeq lists it as uncharacterized. The record is from RefSeq and is a predicted model, not a curated record. Lineage: Eukaryota; Metazoa; Chordata; Mammalia; Artiodactyla; Camelidae. The transcript is spliced from 3 exons.